GAGUUUGAUCCUGGCUCAGAUUGAACGCUGGCGGCAUGCCUUACACAUGCAAGUCGAACGGCAGCACGGGAGCUUGCUCCUGGUGGCGAGUGGCGAACGGGUGAGUAAUGCAUCGGAACGUAUCCUGGAGUGGGGGAUAACGUAGCGAAAGUUACGCUAAUACCGCAUAUUCUGUGAGCAGGAAAGCGGGGGGACCUUCGGGCCUCGCGCUCUUGGAGCGGCCGAUGUCGGAUUAGCUAGUUGGUGAGGUAAAGGCUCACCAAGGCAACGAUCCGUAGCAGGUCUGAGAGGAUGAUCUGCCACACUGGAACUGAGACACGGUCCAGACUCCUACGGGAGGCAGCAGUGGGGAAUUUUGGACAAUGGGGGCAACCCUGAUCCAGCCAUGCCGCGUGAGCGAAGAAGGCCUCGGUUGUAA
RNAcentral lists this ribosomal RNA (418 nucleotides) under bacterium enrichment culture clone ALO1_GLFRUDD03F3JJH. Its description in RNAcentral is "bacterial SSU rRNA". It matches the Rfam family "Bacterial small subunit ribosomal RNA", at positions 9 to 428 of the family's 1533-position model. The record is from RNAcentral.